RNAcentral lists this ribosomal RNA (481 nucleotides) under uncultured Anaplasma sp. RNAcentral's name for it is "bacterial SSU rRNA". It matches the Rfam family "Bacterial small subunit ribosomal RNA", at positions 137 to 652 of the family's 1533-position model. Lineage: Bacteria; Pseudomonadati; Pseudomonadota; Alphaproteobacteria; Rickettsiales; Anaplasmataceae. The record is from RNAcentral.
UAUGGGAUAGCCACUAGAAAUGGUGGGUAAUACUGUAUAAUCCCUGCGGGGGAAAGAUUUAUCGCUAUUAGAUGAGCCUAUGUCAGAUUAGCUAGUUGGUGGGGUAAUGGCCUACCAAGGCGGUGAUCUGUAGCUGGUCUGAGAGGAUGAUCAGCCACACUGGAACUGAGACACGGUCCAGACUCCUACGGGAGGCAGCAGUGGGGAAUAUUGGACAAUGGGCGCAAGCCUGAUCCAGCUAUGCCGCGUGAGUGAGGAAGGCCUUAGGGUUGUAAAACUCUUUCAGUAGGGAAGAUAAUGACGGUACCUACAGAAGAAGUCCCGGCAAACUCCGUGCCAGCAGCCGCGGUAAUACGGAGGGGGCAAGCGUUGUUCGGAAUUAUUGGGCGUAAAGGGCAUGUAGGCGGUUUGGUAAGUUAAAGGUGAAAUACCAGGGCUUAACCCUGGGGCUGCUUUUAAUACUGCAGGACUAGAGUCCGGA